AUGGUCAGGUCAGCAACACAUACAGGAAAAUUGGAGCAAUACAAAGAUUAGCAUGGCCCCUGCACAAGGAUGACAUACAAAUUCGUGAAGCGUUCCAUAUUAAA
Molecule: small nuclear RNA, 104 nt
Organism: Bubalus bubalis (water buffalo)
Lineage: Eukaryota; Metazoa; Chordata; Mammalia; Artiodactyla; Bovidae
Source: RefSeq, a predicted model, not a curated record